UACGUAGGGGGCAAGCGUUGUCCGGAAUUAUUGGGCGUAAAGCGCACGUAGGCGGUUCGUUAAGUCGGAUGUGAAAGCCCUCGGCUCAACUGAGGAAGUGCACCCGAAACUGGCGAGCUUGAGUACUUAAGAGGAUCGCGGAAUUCCCGGUGUAGAGGUGAAAUUCGUAGAUAUCGGGAGGAACACCAGUGGCGAAGGCGGCGAUCUGGGAAGAUACUGACGCUGAGGUGCGAAAGCGUGGGGAGCAAACAGG
This 253-nucleotide ribosomal RNA is filed under the name uncultured bacterium. RNAcentral describes it as "partial 16S ribosomal RNA". It matches the Rfam family "Bacterial small subunit ribosomal RNA", at positions 524 to 776 of the family's 1533-position model. The record is from RNAcentral.